UCUGAAAACUUACGCAGAGCCCCAAAUCAUUCCACUUAUUUCUUCAACUAGUAAACCUAUCAAACAUCUCACUAAAGGUUAAAACUAGAAUUGUAGGGGGAACUCAAAGAAGAGAGCCCCUCCAAAAAUAGGCGUAUGCCACUGAGUGCAGCGCGCACACGGUAUUCUUUAGUAAAAGGCGAAAGAAUAGUUCGCUCUGCGCUCACUGCGUGGCUGCGUGAACUUUGCUGCUCUUCACAGCUGCCAUUUUAUAUGUAACAGCAAGUUCUGGCAUACUCUUCCACUUUCGAUGUGGGACUCAACUCACUCCUUUCCCUCCGUCGGGUUUUAUUGAAAUUUGAGGCAUCAAAAUUUCAGUUGCUUCACCAUUCCUUCACUUAUGUUAUGUGACAAUCUUCAUGUUUCAAAUAGAAGCGACUUUUGCAUUUCCUUCAUCAUUUGAUUCAUUUAAGCUCUGAUUCGCUUUAGUUUUUGGUGAUUCUGAAGAAAUACAUGCUAACAAUCUUAUCGACUAAAUGUCCACAGGAUGGUGUUGUACUUUAUAUAUUGAAUUUCCAGUGCAGGUUUAGUUUUUAAGCUUAUAAUAAGGACCAAUUGGCAGAAUAAGUAAACAAAGCAGCUGGUUUUGAGUUGGCAUUAGUACGGCAUUGAGAAGUGUAAGGAACAAUAUAUACCUGGAGCUAAGAUUCCGCAAGCCAAUAAAAAUGAGUUGAUGCUGCAGGGUUUGGUGAUGAACUCAAGUUCACAAUUUUUUGUUUUGUUAUAAGAUGGACAAAGUUGUUAUAAGCUAUGGGCUUGUUGGAAGUGUUCUGUUCUGACUACUUUUGGGUACUGGGCAUUUGGAUAAUUAUGGUGAUUCCUGGACGUCGUUAAUUUGCUUUCUGCAUUCUUGGCGCAGCACAGAUAACAAUAUAUUGCUGCAAACUUUGUGCUCCAAUGCAAAGAUCUUAGUAAAAAGAAUUGUCUACUGCCACCAAUCUAAGCAGUUUGGUAUAGCUAGGGAAGUAACGAUCCUAUCAUUUGCUUCAAAGUCAAAAUGUGGGCGAUUUUAGUAAAAAGAAUCUAUCUUGUGCGGCUUAGAAAUGUGUGUUAGCAAAAUUAGCUUUUUCCAAGUUCUGAUAUUAAAACAAUGGAGUAGAAAAACUUUCCCAUAUUCCUAUUGGAGUCUUUCCUUUAAUUUACUAUCUUUAUGGAGGCGUUGCUAAUCAAUCCAUCCACAGGUCAAACUGGAAUUUUUGGUGCUUCUUCUUUGAAGGAAAUGAUUCCGAGUUAAAAGGAUAAAUUAGAGCUAAAUCGAUAAUUGAAGCUUUGAAGUAUGAGUAAAAUCCAUAGAAUUAAACAGGGAUCGCAUCCGGGGCUCUUGGACAGGCGUUGCAUACGAAAGUGGGAAGAAAGUGCAAGGGCCAGAACAAAUGGACUAAGGCGACGCACAAACGCAUUAGUGCAAAUAUGCGUCAAAAGUUUGACAAGUUCAUAGACCGGGUAUUUUUGGUCCGACAAGAAAAUGCACUACUGCGACGCGACCUUCAACGCAUGGUGCGGCGCGCUAAGGCAAAAUUCUGUCAAACACACGGUGUUCAGAGAGUUUGCAACUGAGUAAACAACACUGAUGCGACGCGUGAAGUGCAAAAAGUUUGUUGGGUUUCCACUUUGGCUCAAAGAGGGUAGUUUCAUCCGGGUUCAUUCCUACUUAGUAUAAAUACAUUGGAAACACGUUUUCUGAAGGACUUUUGACCUACGAUAGAUUGGAGAACCAACCAAGGCAAGAAGACUCAAGAAUUCAUCAAGAUUUCAACCAACGAUCGGUGCAAUACGGGAGUUUGUAUCGAAUCAUUGUCGUUGAUUUCUUCUUUGUGUUUAAACCUUAUUGAGAUGAUUUUCUUAUAGCUAUGGAGUAAAUCCCAUUAGGGUGUUGACAGAUACGGUGUUUUGAUAACUUGAUUAGGGAUUCGAUUCUUGAUAA
Molecule: long non-coding RNA, 1963 nt
Organism: Nicotiana attenuata
Lineage: Eukaryota; Viridiplantae; Streptophyta; Magnoliopsida; Solanales; Solanaceae
Exons: 3
Source: RefSeq, a predicted model, not a curated record